Molecule: non-coding RNA, 1633 nt
Organism: Leptonychotes weddellii (Weddell seal)
Lineage: Eukaryota; Metazoa; Chordata; Mammalia; Carnivora; Phocidae
Source: RefSeq, a predicted model, not a curated record
GCCGGAAGCCGGGCCACUCUCGCGAGGCCGGGCAGAGGGGAGCCGGGAGGCCCUGUGCGGUGUGGAGGUCGUUGGUGUCACCUGCCAGCCGCCUGCACCUUCUCCUGCCGUUCCGGUCCCCGCCCGCUCCAACUAUGUUCUCCGCGCUCGCCCGCCCUGCGGGCGCCGCUCUCCGCCGCAGCUUCAGCACCUCGGCCCAGAACAAUGCGAAAGUAGCCGUGCUAGGGGCUUCCGGAGGAAUCGGGCAGCCCCUUGCGCUUCUCCUCAAGAACAGUCCCUUGGUGAGCCGCCUGACCCUCUACGAUAUUGCUCAUACGCCCGGAGUGGCCGCCGAUCUGAGCCACAUUGAGACCAGAGCAACCGUGAAAGGCUACCUCGGACCUGAGCAGCUGCCGGAUUGCCUGAAAGGCUGCGAUGUGGUGGUUAUUCCAGCAGGAGUCCCGAGAAAACCAGGCAUGACCCGGGAUGACCUGUUCAACACCAAUGCCUCCAUUGUGGCCACCCUGUCUGCUGCCUGCGCCCAGCACUGCCCCGAGGCCAUGAUCUGCGUCAUUUCCAAUCCGGUGAACUCCACCAUCCCGAUCGCAACGGAAGUUUUCAAGAAACACGGAGUCUACAACCCCAAUAAAAUCUUCGGGGUGACGACCCUGGACAUUGUCAGAGCCAAUACUUUCAUUGCGGAACUGAAGGGUUUGGAUCCCGCUCGAGUCAAUGUUCCUGUCAUUGGCGGCCAUGCUGGGAAGACCAUCAUCCCCCUGAUCUCCCAGUGCACUCCCAAGGUGGACCUUCCCCAGGACCAGCUAACAGCCAUCACUGGGCGGAUCCAAGAGGCCGGCACAGAGGUGGUGAAGGCCAAAGCUGGAGCAGGCUCGGCCACCCUGUCCAUGGCGUACGCCGGAGCCCGCUUUGUCUUCUCCCUUGUGGAUGCGAUGAACGGAAAGGAAGGAGUUGUGGAGUGUUCCUUCGUUAAGUCCCAAGAAGCAGACUGUGCCUAUUUCUCCACCCCGUUACUGCUGGGGAAAAAGGGCAUUGAGAAGAAUCUAGGCAUCGGCAAGAUCUCCUCUUUCGAAGAGAAGAUGAUAGCGGAAGCCAUCCCCGAGCUGAAGGCCUCCAUCAAGAAGGGAGAGGAGUUCGUGAAGAACAUGAAAUGAGGAGGGCAGCCAGCGAGCAGUCCGUUUCCCUAACUUACGAAGGCAUCAUGUCCCUGGUCUCGGCAAAUGUGCUUUCUUCCCCGUUCGAGCUGGCUUCAGAGGGCCUGCCUGUCUGGCGUCUCCAUCGUGAAUCAGAACGAGAUGUUAUUUAAAUAUCAGGCUGACGCAUGAUGGUUUCAUCAGUAGCUUCGACAAAGUCUGAAAAAUGUAUCGGUAGCUGUUCCUCCCAACCCUCCUCUGCACCAUUGCCUCCCUCGGCUCCGUGUCCUCAGUGUCCCGGGGUGACAGUUGGUGGCACAUGCCCAGCCGCCGUUUUCGGUCCCCGGCUCCUCCCAUGUGGUGGUUUCUGGCUCAGCCGACAGCUCUGUCUUCUACAUCGGAGCUGCCUCGUCCAACCUCUGUCCCGCUCCAAAUCUCCUCCUCCCAGACGGGGGCCACCCUAGGCCAGAACUGUGAAGGCUGGAGCGGGGGCUGAAAUGCAG